RNAcentral lists this ribosomal RNA (512 nucleotides) under uncultured bacterium. RNAcentral describes it as "partial 16S ribosomal RNA". It matches the Rfam family "Bacterial small subunit ribosomal RNA", at positions 28 to 523 of the family's 1533-position model. The record is from RNAcentral.
GACGAACGCUGGCGGCGUGCCUAAUACAUGCAAGUCGAGCGAAUCAAUAGGAGCUUGCUCCUGUUGAUUAGCGGCGGACGGGUGAGUAACACGUGGGCAACCUGCCUGUAAGACUGGGAUAACACCGGGAAACCGGUGCUAAUACCGGAUAAUCCUUUUCCUCUCAUGAGGGAAAGCUGAAAGUCGGUUUCGGCUGACACUUACAGAUGGGCGCGCGGCGCAUGAGCUAGUUGGUGAGGUACCGGCUCACCAAGGAGACGAUGCGUAACCGACCCGAGGGGGUGAUCGGCCAGACGGGGACUGAGACACGGCCCAGACUCUUACGCGGGGCAGCAGUAGGGAAUCUUCCACAAUGGAGGAAAGUCUGAUGGAGCAACGCCGCGUGAGCGAUGAAGGCCUUCGGGUCGUAAAGCUCUGUUGUUAGGGAAGAACAAGUACCGGAGUAACUGCCGGUACCUUGACGGUACCUAACCAGAAAGCCACGGCUAACUACGUGCCAGCCGCCGCCGUAA